AAAACGUUUUUAAGAUCAAAAGCAGCAGUCAAAACUUUCAACAACGGAUCUCUAGGUUCUCGCAUCGAUGAAGAACGCAGCGAAAUGCGAUACGUAAUAUGAAUUGCAAGUCUUGUGAAUCAUCGAAUCUUUGAACGCACAUUGCGCUCUGGGGCAUUCCCCAGAGCAUGCCUGUAUGAGCGGUGUUUCUCUCUCGCAAGGUGAUGGGCCGCACGGCAAGUCGGCCCCAAAGACGCCGGGUCUAAUGUACUAGGCUUCAUUAACGCCCAAUUUUAGUGUCACCCUCAUAUCAGGUAGGACUACCCGCUGAACUUAAGCAUAUCA
Molecule: unclassified non-coding RNA, 324 nt
Filed under: [Candida] sp. DMKU-RE123
Lineage: Eukaryota; Fungi; Ascomycota; Saccharomycetes; Saccharomycetales
Description: Candida sp. DMKU-RE123 partial contains ITS1, 5.8S rRNA and ITS2
Rfam family: 5.8S ribosomal RNA (bases 33-185)
Source: RNAcentral